GAUGAACGCUGGCGGCGUGCUUAACACAUGCAAGUCGAACGAUGAAGCCCAGCUUGCUGGGUGGAUUAGUGGCGAACGGGUGAGUAACACGUGAGUAACCUGCCCUUAACUCUGGGAUAAGCCUGGGAAACUGGGUCUAAUACCGGAUAGGAGCGUCCACCGCAUGGUGGGGGUUGGAAAGAUUUAUCGGUUUUGGAUGGACUCGCGGCCUAUCAGCUUGUUGGUGAGGUAAUGGCUCACCAAGGCGACGACGGGUAGCCGGCCUGAGAGGGUGACCGGCCACACUGGGACUGCGACACGGCCCAGACUCCUACGGGAGGCAGCAGUGGGGAAUAUUGCACAAUGGGCGAAAGCCUGAUGCAGCGACGCCGCGUGAGGGAUGACGGCCUUCGGGUUGUAAACCUCUUUCAGUAGGGAAGAAGCGAAAGUGACGGUACCUGCAGAAGAAGCACCGGCUAACUACGUG
This 466-nucleotide ribosomal RNA is filed under the name uncultured bacterium. RNAcentral's name for it is "partial 16S ribosomal RNA". It matches the Rfam family "Bacterial small subunit ribosomal RNA", at positions 28 to 507 of the family's 1533-position model. The record is from RNAcentral.